GAUGAACGCUGACAGAAUGCUUAACACAUGCAAGUCUUUGGUGAAGCUGUGCUUGCACCGCCUAGCCAAGGCGGACGGGUGAGUAACGCGUAAGGAACUUGCCCUGCAGUCAGGGAUAACAGACGGAAACGACUGAUAAGACCUGGUAAAGUCAGGCGGACUCAUGUCCAGCCUGAUGAAAAGAGAUGCUGCAGGAGAGCCUUGCGUCCUAUUAGCUUGUUGGUGGGGUAACGGCCCACCAAGGCAAUGAUAGGUAGCCGGCCUGAGAGGGUGGACGGCCACAAGGGGACUGAGAUACGGCCCUUACUCCUACGGGAGGCAGCAGUGGGGAAUAUUGGACAAUGGGGGCAACCCUGAUCCAGCAAUUCUGUGUGCACGAUGAAGGUUUUCGGAUUGUAAAGUGCUUUCAGCAGGGAAGAAAAAAAUGACGGUACCUGCAGAAGAAGCGACGGCUAAAUACGUG
Molecule: ribosomal RNA, 463 nt
Filed under: uncultured bacterium
Lineage: Bacteria
Description: partial 16S ribosomal RNA
Rfam family: Bacterial small subunit ribosomal RNA
Source: RNAcentral